AUUGAACGCUGGCGGCAGGCCUAACACAUGCAAGUCGAACGAGUGGCGGACGGGCGAGUAAUGUCUGGGAACCUGCCUGAUGGAGGGGGAUAACUACUGGAAACGGUAGCUAAUACCGCAUACUAUCGGAUGUGCCCAGAUGGGAUUAGCUAGUAGGUGGGGUAAAGGUUAACCUAGGCGACGAUCCCUAGCUGGUCUGAGAGGAUGACCAGGCACACUGGAACUGAGACGAGGUCCAGACUCCUAAGGGAGGCAGCAGAGGGGAAUAUUGCACAAUGGGCGCAAGCCUGGUGCAGCCAUGCCGCGUGUAUGGAGGAGGGCUUGGGGUUUUGAAGUUCUUUCAGCUGUGAGGCGUUACCCGCAGAAGAAGCACCGGCUAACUCCGUGCCAGCAGCCGCGGUAAUAC
This 406-nucleotide ribosomal RNA is filed under the name uncultured bacterium. Its description in RNAcentral is "partial 16S ribosomal RNA". It matches the Rfam family "Bacterial small subunit ribosomal RNA", at positions 30 to 526 of the family's 1533-position model. The record is from RNAcentral.